AACAUUCUGGGCAGAGGUUCGGGUCUGGGAUGGCCUUUACAGGAGCCCAGCAACGCUGCUGAUGUCCCUUGGGAGGGGGCUACUGCGGCCCCCUGCUCCUGGUUAGCUCGUGGAUCUGCCUGCCCCAGACCCGGAAGGACCUGUCUUCAUCAUGACACGGCCCCUCCGCCAUCUGCUCUCUAGACACGCCUGUCCAGCCUGCUCACAAACCAAGUGAAAUCUCUUAACACCGACCAUUGCCCUGGAAGAGAAUCUAGAAAUGAGAUGUACACUGCAGUACACUAUCCCUUGGUCUUGUUCAAUAUCAGGUUUUUGCUCCCAUUUCUAGCUCUCCUCGACCUCAUUAGUCAUCAGGUGCACCAUCGCUGGAAAUCUGGUCUUUAUGGUUAAAAACGAUGGCUGCUUCCAUUUAAAUCACAAUACAGUGUUCUACUCAGAUCCUACAAAAAGCCAAGCUACCCUCUCCAGAGUUUGAACAAUAAAAGGUCUCGCUUAUUUAUUCUCA
Molecule: long non-coding RNA, 505 nt
Organism: Microcebus murinus (gray mouse lemur)
Lineage: Eukaryota; Metazoa; Chordata; Mammalia; Primates; Cheirogaleidae
Source: RefSeq, a predicted model, not a curated record